Molecule: ribosomal RNA, 449 nt
Filed under: uncultured bacterium
Lineage: Bacteria
Description: partial 16S ribosomal RNA
Rfam family: Bacterial small subunit ribosomal RNA
Source: RNAcentral
AACGAACGCUGGCGGCAUGCCUAACACAUGCAGGUCGAACGAGAUCUUCGGGUCUAGUGGCGCACGGGUGUGUAACGCGUGGGAAUCUGCCCUUUGGUUCGGAAUAACAGUUGGAAACGACUGCUAAUACCGGAUGAUGACGAAAGUCCAAAGAUUUAUCGCCAGAGGAUGAGCCCGCGUAGGAUUAGCUAGUUGGUGUGGUAAAGGCGCACCAAGGCGACGAUCCUUAGCUGGUCUGCGAGGAUGAUCAGCCACACUGGGACUGAGACACGGCCCAGACUCCUACGGGAGGCAGCAGUGGGGAAUAUUGGACAAUGGGCGAAAGCCUGAUCCAGCAAUGCCGCGUGAGUGAUGAAGGCCUUAGGGUUGUAAAGCUCUUUUACCCGGGAUGAUAAUGACAGUACCGGGAGAAUAAGCUCCGGCUAACUCCGUGCCAGCCGCCGCAGUAA